RNAcentral lists this ribosomal RNA (503 nucleotides) under Cytobacillus oceanisediminis. Its description in RNAcentral is "bacterial SSU rRNA". It matches the Rfam family "Bacterial small subunit ribosomal RNA", at positions 39 to 524 of the family's 1533-position model. The record is from RNAcentral. Lineage: Bacteria; Bacillati; Bacillota; Bacilli; Caryophanales; Bacillaceae.
UGCAGUCGGGUGCUAUACAUGCAGUCGAGCGGACGGAUGGGAGCUUGCUCCCUGAAGUCAGCGGCGGACGGGUGAGUAACACGUGGGCAACCUGCCUGUAAGACUGGGAUAACUCCGGGAAACCGGGGCUAAUACCGGAUAACUCUUUUCCUCACAUGAGGAAAAGCUGAAAGAUGGUUUCGGCUAUCACUUACAGAUGGGCCCGCGGCGCAUUAGCUAGUUGGUGAGGUAACGGCUCACCAAGGCCACGAUGCGUAGCCGACCUGAGAGGGUGAUCGGCCACACUGGGACUGAGACACGGCCCAGACUCCUACGGGAGGCAGCAGUAGGGAAUCUUCCGCAAUGGACGAAAGUCUGACGGAGCAACGCCGCGUGAGUGAUGAAGGUUUUCGGAUCGUAAAACUCUGUUGUCAGGGAAGAACAAGUACCGGAGUAACUGCCGGUACCUUGACGGUACCUGACCAGAAAGCCACGGCUAACUACGUGCCAGCAGCCGCGGUAAU